This 186-nucleotide unclassified non-coding RNA is filed under the name Ascomycota sp. RNAcentral describes it as "partial internal transcribed spacer 2". RNAcentral also lists the same sequence under 2 other names. The record is from RNAcentral. Lineage: Eukaryota; Fungi; Ascomycota.
CAACCCUCGAGCCCGACUUCCUCGCGGAGGACGGCUCGGCGUUGGGGGACGGCACGCUCCCCCCGGUUCGCCGGGGACGCCGCCCCCGAAAUUCAGUGGCGGCCCUCGGAGGCGACCUCUGCGUAGUAACUCAACCUCGCAAAGGGAAGCUCCGUGCGGCCACGCCGUGAAACCCCAACUCUUCAA